UACGGGGGGAGCAAGCGUUGUUCGGAUUUACUGGGCGUAAAGGGCGCGUAGGCGGCGCGACAAGUCACUUGUGAAAUCUCCGGGCUUAACCCGGAGCGGCCAAGUGAUACUGUAGUGCUAGAGUGCGGAAGGGGCUACUGGAAUUCCUGGUGUAGCGGUGGAAUGCGCAGAUAUCAGGAGGAACACCAAUAGCGAAGGCAGCUCGCUGGGACGGUACUGACGCUGAGGCGCGAAAGCGUGGGGAGCGAACAGG
RNAcentral lists this ribosomal RNA (253 nucleotides) under uncultured bacterium. Its description in RNAcentral is "partial 16S ribosomal RNA". It matches the Rfam family "Bacterial small subunit ribosomal RNA", at positions 524 to 776 of the family's 1533-position model. The record is from RNAcentral.